UCCACAAUAGCUCAGCGGUAGAGCAGUAGACUGUUAAUCUAUUGGUCGUAGGUUCGAUCCCUACUUGUGGAGCCA
This 75-nucleotide transfer RNA is filed under the name Rickettsiales bacterium. RNAcentral describes it as "tRNA-Asn". It matches the Rfam family "tRNA". Rfam says of the family: Transfer RNA (tRNA) molecules are approximately 80 nucleotides in length. Their secondary structure includes four short double-helical elements and three loops (D, anti-codon, and T loops). The record is from RNAcentral. Lineage: Bacteria; Pseudomonadati; Pseudomonadota; Alphaproteobacteria; Rickettsiales.